Armigeres subalbatus is the source of this 958-nucleotide long non-coding RNA. RefSeq lists it as uncharacterized. The transcript has 3 exons. The record is from RefSeq and is a predicted model, not a curated record. NCBI's taxonomy places the organism in Eukaryota, Metazoa, Arthropoda, Insecta, Diptera, Culicidae.
ACCCGCCGAAUAUGGAUGUUGGUGUGGGUAGAGGUAAUUUUUGACCUUCGCGAAAUCACUUCGUGAUUCGCGUAAUUUCCGGCGACGAUCAUAAAAUCUCGCGCUUUGAUCUGAGGAUCCAAGGACUUAGCUCGUUCACUUCGUUCUGGUCUACGGAAGAGGCAAGAGCAGUCCGGAAUUUCUAAAUCGCGUCGUGGUGUGUUCUUGAAGUUAGCUGUAAUCAAGUUAUUAGUGCAUUCUGGCGGUUAGGUGGUAGUGUAGACUUGCGGAUAAAGCGAUUGUGGCAAGUUGCAAGGCCCGACACACCACCCACACAGUUGGAGACUGCUUUUGACCCCGUUUACCUGCUACGAAGGACGUCCCGGUGGUACACGUGGACCGGAGAGGGCAGCGCACGUUUUUUUCCCGCGCCCUUGGCAGGGCGGCAACAACCGGACCGGUUAGAAACCGGUAAUCAAGUUUAGACAUCCUUUUUCGUGAGUGACGGCGUGCAGAGCGUGACACGGUCGCGUAAAAAGUUUUUCCCCCGGCCGGAUUCGAACCGGCGACCUUUGGAUCGGGAGGCGCACACCGUAGCUCGACGCCACCGACGGCUGUACCCCGUCGAGCAGUCCACAAUUUCGCGCCGGAGGCGUCAUCGACAACGGCGACAUCGAUGAACGACGCGUGAACCAUUUCGGAGUCCGUGGGAGAGACCGCGCGUGACACGCGUGGCGCCAAAGCAGCAGUAGUGGAGAACCGCCGACGCCUCCAAGUUGGUAUGCAACGAACAGAGUGAGUAACAUGCAUGUUCCAUUAUUUUUCCCCAUGCGCAUGGCGAAUGAAAGCCCCUAGCCUUAGCCCAUCCGCUAGCGUGGCCAAGCCGAUAGCCCUACCGUUCCUUCCGUACGCGUCAGCGAGGUAGUUGGCUUAUUUAUAGAAAGAGUGAAUGCCGCACCAUAUAGUGAACACCGCACCA